Molecule: long non-coding RNA, 1767 nt
Filed under: Homo sapiens (human)
Lineage: Eukaryota; Metazoa; Chordata; Mammalia; Primates; Hominidae
Description: non-protein coding lnc-CHRAC1-6:1
Source: RNAcentral
GCUUGGCGGGGCCCCAUGCUGGGCUGUAGGGCGCACAGCUCUCCUUUCUAGGUGCCAGGUCGAACACUGAGCUUACUAUUGUACAAGAUCUAACCCAGGAGGGUGAGAAAGGAGGAGAUGAGGCAGGACAGCAAGAGGGACUGGGGUCCCACACAGCAGCUCAGCCACUGCCGACCUCGGGGUCAGGAAACAGACACCCACAAGAGCGUCCACGACCCGUAUGGGAAGAUGUCUGAACCCCGAGACGGCGUGUUCUGUGCUGGAGAACAACUUCCAGGGCUUUAUCCAGGUGUUCUAAAGCCACAGCACCAAAAAGAAUUCUCUUCGGCAAAGGCAGCAGGACUCAACAGGAAGCAGACGUUUGCGUUCCGUUACUUGAGGAAAACCAAAUGCUGCUGACAUUUCUACCCAGAGAGAGUUUGCAUCUCUCCUGCUUCGCAGCCAUCUUUCCUACGGUUUUACCAGGAGAAUGCCUAGCUCUUCUCCAACCUGUGCCAGGCCUGACACUCAGCUCCUCUGGGAGUGCCUCCAUUUCCCUGUGCGUACAAGCCCACGGUGCCGUAGGAUCACCGGUCCACUCUGCGCGGCAGCACCGCACCCCGGAGCCGCAGCUCUUCCUCCCGCUUGCCCGACAGCCCUGGUGCCAAGCCCUGUCUGAGCCCCACCAGGAGGAAGCGCGUGCUGGCUGCUCUCCAUCUGCUCUGGGACUCUGGCCUGCUGCUUCCUCUGCCUGCCACUCCCCAACCCCGUUUCCUCCUCUGAAAACUGGAGCUACACCUGCCCCAACAGGGCAGAAUUACCUUAAAUGGCACAAGACAAUUGUACAGCAGACCCACCUCUUCUCCAAAGUUUUCAGGGCCCAAACCCAGACACCUCCUUGCAGGACUCAUGGCUACCGUGGGCUCGCACCACCAGCCUCCCCAUGCGUUUUCCUGCCUCUGCUUUUGCUCAAUCUGCUCAAUGACAGAAACGCGACAACAGAGGCCACUUUCUCCAAACCCAGCUCUCCCUCGAGGCUCCCAUCCUGCUGCUCACGCUGAGGCCACUCUACCCUGCCCUCCGCAGCUCACAGGCAGACCUGGAGCCCAGUGACUACAGGGUUGGCCUCCUCAUCUUGCCACCACUCACAAUGCCCAGCAGUGUUAAAAUCCGGCAGGAUGCACCCGCUUGGGAAGCAGUCCCCAAAGCAGAAUCGUCACCACAUCUGAAUAGUUUCUGCCAUCCCACUGACAGGCCAGCAUCUAAAAGAGAUGUGCGCUGAGCGUCCGUUAUGUGGUGGCGUCGCUGUGGUUUCUUAACCAGAACGCAAAAUCCUGUGACCAGGAUUAUCACCGGCUCGUUUCAUACAUGAGACGGGGGAAGCCAAAGUAACCACUCAGGCCACAGCAGAAAAACGCGUGCUGGAAUCUGAAACAAAGUCUGUUGGAUUCCAAGGGUUCAACGUCUUUUGUGAUGAUGAAGACGAAGCCUGCCCAAGAGCAGUCAGAGCUGAAAGAAGAAAAGCAGGAGGGCCUGUGAAUGCCCCCAACCCCCUAAAACCUGCAGCUCCAGGUCCGACACUCCCAGGUUUGCGUUUUGAAUUUACACUACCUAUGGGGUCCAGGCCAUCACCUAAGUGAGAAAUUUCACACGCUCACCCGGGGUGCUCAAAGCCAUCUCUCUAAAUGAGGUGCCUGAUGUGCAGACAACCCUUAUAUGAUCUACAUCUCUUCACCUGUCUGGAAAUCAAGACCCUCUCACGAUUUUUUUGUUUGUUUUUCCCCGAGA